RNAcentral lists this non-coding RNA (100 nucleotides) under Bigelowiella natans. The record is from RNAcentral. Lineage: Eukaryota; Cercozoa; Chlorarachniophyceae.
AUGCAUUGAUCGAUAUUGUCGCCUCUUUUUUAAUUUUUUUCUUUUUUCCUUCCUUUUCUUCUUCUUCUUCUUCUUCUUCAUCAUCUUUACUACCACAAGA